This 254-nucleotide ribosomal RNA is filed under the name uncultured bacterium. RNAcentral's name for it is "partial 16S ribosomal RNA". It matches the Rfam family "Bacterial small subunit ribosomal RNA", at positions 524 to 776 of the family's 1533-position model. The record is from RNAcentral.
GACAUAGGUGGCGAACGUUAUCCGGAUUUAUUGGGCGUAAAGGAUGCGUAGAUGGCAGGGUAAGUUAUCGGUCGAAAUCGGGCUCAACUCGAUGGAGGCUAAUAAUACUACUCUGCUGGAGGACAGGAGAGGUUAACGGAACUCUAUGAGUAGGGGUGAAAUCCAUUGAUCUAUAGGGGACCACCAAAAAAGGCGAAGGCAGUUAACUAUUCUGUUCCUGACAUUGAGGCAUGAAAGCGUGGGGAGCAAAACGG